This 505-nucleotide ribosomal RNA is filed under the name uncultured bacterium. Its description in RNAcentral is "bacterial SSU rRNA". It matches the Rfam family "Bacterial small subunit ribosomal RNA", at positions 374 to 896 of the family's 1533-position model. The record is from RNAcentral.
GGGGCAACCCUGAUCCAGCAAUGCCGCGUGUGUGAAGAAGGUUUUCGGAUUGUAAAGCACUUUCGACGGGGACGAUGAUGACGGUACCCGUAGAAGAAGCCCCGGCUAACUUCGUGCCAGCAGCCGCGGUAAUACGAAGGGGGCUAGCGUUGCUCGGAAUGACUGGGCGUAAAGGGCGUGUAGGCGGUUUUGACAGUCAGAUGUGAAAUCCCCGGGCUUAACCUGGGAGCUGCAUUUGAGACGUUAAGACUAGAGUGUGAGAGAGGGUUGUGGAAUUCCCAGUGUAGAGGUGAAAUUCGUAGAUAUUGGGAAGAACACCGGUGGCGAAGGCGGCAACCUGGCUCAUUACUGACGCUGAGGCGCGAAAGCGUGGGGAGCAAACAGGAUUAGAUACCCUGGUAGUCCACGCUGUAAACGAUGUGUGCUAAAUGUUGGGUAACUUAGUUACUCAGUGUCGCAGUUAACGCGUUAAGCACACCGCCUGGGGAGUACGGCCGCAAGGUUG